Molecule: ribosomal RNA, 1486 nt
Filed under: uncultured Bordetella sp.
Lineage: Bacteria; Pseudomonadati; Pseudomonadota; Betaproteobacteria; Burkholderiales; Alcaligenaceae
Description: partial 16S-23S ribosomal RNA intergenic spacer
Rfam family: Bacterial small subunit ribosomal RNA
Source: RNAcentral
GGUUCGAUUAUGGCUCAGAUUGAACGCUGGCGGGAUGCUUUACACAUGCAAGUCGAACGGCAGCACGGACUUCGGUCUGGUGGCGAGUGGCGAACAGGUGAGUAAUGUAUCGGAACGUGCCUAGUAGCGGGGGAUAACUACGCGAAAGCGUAGCUAAUACCGCAUACGCCCUUCGAGGGAAAGCGGGGGGACCUUCGGGCCUCGCACUAUUAAACGGCCGAUAUCGGAUUAGCUAGUUGGUGGGGUAACGGCUCACCAAGGCGACGAUCCGUAGCUGGUUUGAGAGGACGACCAGCCACACUGGGACUGAGACACGGCCCAGACUCCUGCGGGAGGCAGCAGUGGGAAUUUUGGACAAUGGGGAAACCUGAUCAGCCAUCCCGCGUGUGCGAUGAAGGCCUUCGGGUUGUAAAGCACUUUUGGCAGGAGAGAAACGGCACGGGAUAAUACCCCGUGCAACUGACGGUACCUGCAGAAUAAGCACCGGCUAACUACGUGCCAGCAGCCGCGGUAAUACGUAGGGUGCAAGCGUUAAUCGGAAUUACUGGGCGUAAAGCGUGCGCAGGCGGUUCGGAAAGAAAGAUGUGAAAUCCCAGAGCUUAGCUUUGGAACUGCAUUUUAACUACCGGCUAGAGUGUGUCAGAGGGAGGUGGGAAUUCCCGCGUGUAGCAGUGAAAUGCGUAGAUAUGCGGAGGAACACCGAUGGCGAAGGCAGCCUCCUGGGAUAACACUGACGCUCAUGCACGAAAGCGUGGGAGCAAACAGGAUUGAAUACCCCGGUAGUCCACGCCUAAACGAUGUCAACUAGCUGUUGGGGCCUUCGGGCCUUGGUAGCGCAGCUAACGCGUGAAGUUGACCGCCUGGGGAGUACGGUCGCAAGAUUAAAACUCAAAGGAAUUGACGGGGACCCGCACAAGCGGUGGAUGAUGUGGAUUAAUUCGAUGCAACGCGAAAAACCUUACCUACCCUUGACAUGUCUGGAAUCCCGAAGAGAUUUGGGAGUGCUCGCAAGAGAACCGGAACACAGGUGCUGCAUGGCUGUCGUCAGCUCGUGUCGUGAGAUGUUGGGUUAAGUCCCGCAACGAGCGCAACCCUUGUCAUUAGUUGCUACGAAAGGGCACUCUAAUGAGACUGCCGGUGACAAACCGGAGGAAGGUGGGGAUGACGUCGAAGUCCUCAUGGCCCUUAUGGGUAGGGCUUCACACGUCAUACAAUGGUCGGGACGGGGGUCGCCAACCCGCGAGGGGAGCCAAUCCCAGAGGAAACCCGAUCGUAGUCCGGAUCGCAGUCUGCAACUCGACUGCGUGAAGUCGGAAUCGCUAGUAAUCAUGAGUCAGCAUGUCGCGGUGAAUACGUUCCCGGGUCUUGUACACACCGCCCGUCACACCAUGGGAGUGGGUUUUACCAGAAGUAGUUAGCCUAACCGUAAGGAGAGGGCGAUUACCACAGUAGGAUUCAUGACUGGGGUGAAGUCGUAACAAGGUAG